This 12398-nucleotide long non-coding RNA is filed under the name Sorghum bicolor (sorghum). RNAcentral's name for it is "long non-coding RNA (SBIC_LNC001967)". Lineage: Eukaryota; Viridiplantae; Streptophyta; Magnoliopsida; Poales; Poaceae. The record is from RNAcentral.
UUUUUUAAUCUAUUUUCUAAUGAAAAAACACCCGAUAUCUUGAUUUCUCCUUCUAAUAAACCCGUAACAAAGUUUUUUGCUGCCUUUCAAAAACUUAUAUAAGAUUUUAUAUAUAUAAGUGGCUCAAGCGUGUAAGGUCAUAUACUCACUUCACUUCGAAAGUUCAAAUUAACAACGUUGGUCCCUCGUUUCCAAUGGUGCUACCCCCUUGGACCUCCUUCUUCCUCGGCAUCAUCGUGCUGGCCAUCGCACUCUUUCUGUUAUCCAUUCUCCACCGCCGCCGCCACCCCUCUGGCAAUAGCAAGUACAACCUCCCACCGGGCCCUCGACCAUGGCCGGUGAUCGGCAACCUGAACUUGAUCGGCCCACUCCCGCACCGGUCCGUCCACGAGCUCUCCAAGCGCUACGGCUCGCUCAUGUCCCUGCGCUUCGGCUCCCUCCCCGUCGUCGUCGCCUCCUCCGUCGACAUGGCCAGGUUCUUCCUCAAGACGCACGACCUGGCGUUCAUCGACCGCCCUCGUACCGCGUCCGGCAGGUACACCGGCUACAACUACUCCGACAUGCUGUGGUCGCCCUACGGCGCGUACUGGCGGCAGGCGCGCAAGUUCUGCAAGGCCGAGGUGUUCAGCGCGGCGCGGCUGAGGUCGCAGGAGCACGUCCGGGCGGCGGAGGUGCGCGCCAUGCUGCGCGACCUGUACGCCGCUGGGCCGGCGGCGGCGCCGGUGCGGCUCAUGGACCACCUGUUCCAGCUGACCAUCAACGUGAUCUCGCUCAUGGUGCUGGGCGAGAAGCACGCCGUCGCCGUCGAUGGCGACGGCAGGUCGGCGGCGGGCGGUGGCUUGCCGGCGACGCCCGAGGCGUUCAAGUGGAUGAUCGAAGAGUUCUUCUUGCUGAGCGGCAGGCUCGACGUCGGGGACAUGAUCCCCUGGCUCAGAUGGCUGGACCCGCAUGGGCACGUCAGGAGGUUGAAGAGGCUUAGGGAGAUGUUCGACCAUUUCCUGGACAAUGUUGUGGACGAGCACAGCGAGCGGCGGUGGCGAGAGGGCGACGCGUUCGUCGCCAUGGACGCGGUGGACCUGCUGCUGGAGCUCGCCGACGAUCCCAAUCUAGAGGUCCCAAUCCAGCGAGAUGGCAUCAAGGCAUUCACGCUGGUGAGACCUACUACCUAUGUUUUUCUAAAGGCUGAACUGUAAACAGUCGGGUCACCUGCCGUUUAGCCAUUAUUCAGACUAAACAGUCCAUUAAACGAGCUAAACGGUCAAUUAAACGGACUAAAACGAAUGAUUAAACAGAAACGAUAUAUAACGUUUACAUAGCGUUUAAACGGUCUAAACGGCCAUUUAGACAAACAGUGACUAACAGUCUACCACUACCACUGUUCACAAUGCAUGCCAUGCUUUCACUUCGAUUGCAGAACCUCCUUGUCGGAUUGCCGGACACGACGUCGGUGACCGUGGAAUGGGCCAUGUCGGAGCUCCUGAGGAACCCCGACGCGCUCGCCACGGCCACCGAGGAGCUGGACCGCGUCGUCGGCCGCGAGCGCCUCGUCGUCACGGAGGGGGACAUCCCGAGCCUCCCGUACAUGGAGGCGGUCGUGAAGGAGACGAUGCGGCUGCACCCGGUGUCGCCGCUGCUGACGCCCCGGCUGUCGCGCGAGGACGUCGUCGUGUCCGUGGGCGGGCACGGGCACGGGCACGGGCACGACAUCCCGGCGGGCACGCUGGUGUUCGUCAACGUCUGGGCCAUCGCCCGCGACCCCGCCGUGUGGGGGCGGACCGCCGGCGAGUUCCGGCCGGAGCGGUUCGUCGGGAGCGGCGUGGACGUGAAGGGGCAGGACCUGGAGCUGCUGCCCUUCGGGUCCGGCCGCCGGAUGUGCCCCGGCGUCUCGCUCGGGCUGAGGAUGGUCCAGGUGAUCCUCGCCAACCUCGUCCACGGCUACGCGUGGAAGCUCCCGGACGGCGUCGCCGGGGAGGAGCUGAGCAUGGAGGAGACGUUCGGGCUGUCCAUGCCGCGCAAGGUCCGGCUCGACGCCGUCGCCGAGCCAAGGUUGCCGGCGCACCUGUACCUGUACGCCGGGCCAUGACCAUGAUGCAUGCCCGCAAUGCACGUUUAGCUUUGCUGCUUCCUUUUUGUCUAAUUUAUGCAUAUUUCUGGAGUACAGUACAGGCAUGUGAUGCCGUGUGCCGUCUGUUGUUGUUUGUCUCUGUCCUUCAAUGCGUUUAAUUUCAUCCUGUAAUUGGCACACUUUAUCUUCGUGCAAAUAUAUAAUUACCAUUACUUCUGAAAGGAUGUCAUUGGACUCCAAGAUGUCUUUGGAAUGGUACGGUGGCCAAAAUUGGGGUCACAUGCAAGUUAUUUAGCACUGCAUAGUGAGGGAUAAUAUUUUUUGCAAAAUUUUUUAGAAACUAAACAAGGCCUUAACCUCCAUUAUAUUAUUGUCUCGCUCUCGCAGUGUUCAUGUACAGCAAUGAGAUCCACACGGUGGCCCAGGUGAGCAAGAACGACUUCGUGGCGUGCAACCUGCAGGGCAACAGCAGUCAGUUCAAGUUCUGGAACUCCGGCAACGACGUCGUGACGCUGGACAAGCCCGGCAAGAUGUGGUUCAUCUGCACCAAGCACAACCACUGCCGCAAGGGCAUGAAGCUCGCCAUCGACGUCGUCGACCGCACCGUCGUCGUCGCCCCAUCCCCAGCCCCGCUCCCGGGAACUGCCCCGCCUCCCCCACCUCCUCCGUUCGGUUGGCCGUCGACCCCGGCCCCGCCGCCCCCACCUCCGUUCGGUUGGCGGUCGACACCGGCGCCGCCUCCGCCGCGGUCUGUGGCCGUGAGGAACGCGGUCGGCGGCGCGGUGGCCGCGGCGGCAGCCGCCGUGGUCGCGGCCGCGCUCGCGUUCUAGGGCCGCCCUCUCAAUACCUGCUGUGACGACCGUGCACGCGUUGUAGCAUUGUUACUUGCGUUGCAUGAGUGGUGGCACUAGGCAGAGUGAUUUGGAUUUGUUUACUGCUGCUGUUCGUGCUUGGACUAGGCAGCAUUAGCAAGAGUUUAGAGCUAUUUAUUUAUAUGUAUCAGGGGCCUCCUAGUCAUUUGUGUCUCACUCAGAGUGAUUUUUUUUCUUUUUUUUUGAAAAUGUGUUUCAGGUGAUAUGAGUUUGUCGGUCUGCUAUAUUGCCGGCCGGCAUUGAUAAGUUUAUUCUAAUAAAGUUUAACUCUUCAUAUUUUAUUGACCACAUAUAUAAAAUCAGAGUGUGUGCGUGAUAUGCAGAUGCAUAGAAAAUACUAUGUAAUCUAGAACUGCUAAAAUAGAUUGAUAUUUCAUAUAUACGUUUCACGAUAUAUAUGUCUGUUUCAUAAUCGGAGUCCACAGUAGGAGUAAUUAAUAUUGCUACUAUGUACUUUUGCUCAUCAGGAGAUCAACAAGACAUGCAUUAAAUGCAAGUGUGUGUAAUAUGUUUACAAUUUAUUCAGAGGGUGAUGAGUUAGAACAAGUGUCUCCAAGGAGAUAAUGGAUCAUAUGGAUUCUCAAAGCAUCUCUAGCGGUACCCUCAAACUAGCCCCGUAAACUAAAAUUUGAGGGCUUUCGUCGGGUGAAAUGAAAUCAAAGUAUCCAUAACUAGAUGAUGGAACCCCUAACAAAAAUCAAACUAAGCAAAAGGAUAUCUAUGCUACUAAAUGCUAAGAGCAAACGCCUAAGCUCACUAAAGAUGAACAAGAGUGAACUAGAACUUGAACUAAGCAAAACUAUAUUACUAAAUAAAAUACUAACAAUAAAAUAUUAGAUAAAGUAAAUGCUAAAUGAAAGAAUACAGAGGAGCUAUACCAGACCCAGAAGACUCUUUUGGACUUCAAAGAAAGCUCCGCUCUAGCUCUACUUCCACUACUAGCUAAUUAAGUUACUACUUCUAAAGCUACUACUAAGCUUAAGAGGUUGGAGAGGCUUGGAUGCUUGUGAACUGAGGGGGAUGAUCUUCAUGACCUCCACACAUCCUUUAAUUUUAUAGUGUAUAGAGGAGGUAGGGCCGUAGAGGUACUUGUAGGCCAUCAAGUGAGGCGGUGGAUUGGAGCUUCCUUGGGCAUCCGACAAUGUUCUUAUGGUGUGUUUGUUCGCUGCACAGGAAAGGGAUGAACGACCACGGGAAUCUUUCUCUUAAUCAAAAUUGGGCACACACCUGGUCACGAAAAAAAAACGACCACCGGAAUGAAUUUGGGCUAGCUAUAGCUUAACAAAACAUUAACCAUUGUAGAAAGAAUUGUCAGUUAUUUUUUAUAUUGAUGAAAUUGUGGAUGAUAAAUAUAUAACCGCCAAGAAGCCGAGGCAUUGCAACAACAACUAGUUUCGGUGGCUUCUUGACUAUGGAAAACAGUAGAUGGUUUUGUGAUAGGACUGUUGUAGCCCACUAAUGUUUGUUCAAAUGACACAAUUUGCUGCAUAAUCAGUUUAAGGGAAUUUAAUUCCUCUAAACAACGAAUGUACAAAAAAAUCCGGUAUAGAUUAAGAAAAAAAAUAUUAAAAAAGGUGAGCUCAGAUACGCAUCUUGUCGUCCGCACAAUCAGACGGGCUGUGAUGGACCCAACCAAUCACGGUGAGCGCAGAAAUCCGUCAUUGCUCUGGUGUGAGAGAGGCUUGAACUCUCGACCUCAGGAUCACUCGCAUUUCCAGCUGGGACCUACGCGCUAGCCAACUGCGCCACCACCCCGUUCUUGUCUACGUUCCUGCACGAGACCCUAUCUACGGCCAUUUGCCCAUCCACAUUCCACGACCAUAUUUCCUCUCUUCAUUCAUCCUUGUACAAAUUCAAAGCAAAGAAAAUUGUUUUGUCAUAUUUUGUAGCGUCCGUUUGCGACGUGCAUGCAUGCCAAGAAGAGCUGUUAACGUAUAUCCACAAAAUUUGGGUUCUCUUUAUGCACGACGAUGUUAGUGCAUGUGGGCGUGUGCCGCUAGCUGCCGGUGCCGGCCGGGGGCUUAUACGGCGCCUUGCCGACGGCGCGCGGCGAGGAUCUUGUCGUCGAGGUCGAAGGUCAUGGCCUUCUCCCCGUGGCCACUAGCGCGCGUACUCGGCGUACCAGUACUCCUUGAGGUCCUCCGGCAGGUUGGUGCUGCAAUGACCAAGUUAACAACUCCAAUGACAAAUGGCGUCAAGCUUGACACCAAUGACAACGGCGCUAAGAUGCAUAUUAUGUCAGCUCCACGUAUUUGUUGGUGUAACGAUUUUGGCGUCAAUGGCGACGACGCCAAGCUGAGGGUCUAUUUUUUUAAAAUCAUUCCACCAAGAUGCAUUUGAGAGAAUUUUUCAAAAAAAAAACUAAAAAAAUAAAAAAGAUGGCCUUCACGACCUCCACACCUCUAAUUUUAUAGUGUGUAGAGGAGGUAGGGCCGUACGAGUACUUGUAGGCCACCAAGUGAGGCAGUGGAUUGAAGGGCGGGUUUGUUCGCUGCAUAGGUAAGGGAUGAACGAACACUGGAAUCUUCCUCUUAAUGAAAGUUGGCACACACUUGGUAAAAAAAAAAAACGACCGGAAUGAAUUUGGGCUAUUGGUAUUAUAGCUCUCAACAAAACGUUAACCAUUGUAGAAAUAAUUGUCGCUUAUUUUUUUAUAUUGAUGGAAUUGUGGAUGAUAGAGAAUAUAUGACCGCCAAUUAAGAAGCCUGGCCACUGCAACAACCAAGUUAACUGUUUUAUAUGACGUCGUAAAUACAGUACACUAUGAUUAUAACCCAACAAGAAGCUAAUUAAGACAGAUAUAGCCAGGUUAUUACACGAGACAGAAGAAGCCAUGGAGCUGUCAGCAAAACAAAUUAAUCGCCAGGAAAGCGUCACCAAUCCGCUGGAACCCGUUGGGGCUGGGGGCGCGCGACGAACCGUCAGGGGGAAACACGAUGUGGCUGCCACCUGCCAUGGAUGCCCUCCCUGCGAUGCCGCCCUGAUGCCGUGGCAAACUUCACCUCGCUUUUAUCAGCUGCAUAGAGAGAAACAAACAGUGCAUUCCUGUGGCGCUAGCGCUAACGAUGCCCUUCGCUGCUGCUAGCUGCAGACGAUCGAGCGGCUCCCCUGCAGACGAGUGGCGCUACGUACCUCAUCACAACAGCAUGUUGGAUUGGAUCUAGUACUGUGAUUGAUGCGCCACUGAUGUGCCUGCUUUAAUUUCUGCUGUAUAAAUAGACACGAGUGUCACUCCUGCUUGCCAAGCAACAUCAGCAGCUGCAGCAGAAGCAUCCUUAAUUCGUUAGCUGCUCGCCGGCUGGGACGGCGACGAAACGGCAACGACGACGACCAAUGGCGUCCUCCAAGCAAGUGCUGCUCCUGGCCGCGGUCGUCGCCGUCGCGUGCCUCCUCCCGUCGCUGGCCUCUGCCAGGCAGUGGGUGGUCGGGGACGAAUGCGGCUGGAAGGCCAGGUUCAACCAUACCCACUGGGCCAACGGCAAGACGUUCGUCGUCGGGGACACCCUGCGUACGCACGAGACCAUCCACAAUAUAACACCAUCACCAUAUAUAUAUAUAUAUAUAUAUAUAUAUAUAUAUAUAUAUAUAUAUAUAUAUAUAUAUAUCGUUGGAGUUAAUUAACCCCCACACUGUUGUCUCGCAGUGUUCAAGUACCGCAAGGGGAAACACAAUGUGGUCCAGGUCGGCGAGGAAGACUUCGCUACGUGCGGCCAUGACGAGAACCAUCGGACCAGGUGCUCCGGCCACGACGUCGUGCAGCUCGACAGGCCCGGGAGGAUGUUUUUCAUCUGCACCAAGCACAACCACUGCCGCAAGGGCAUGAAGCUCGCCAUCGACGUCGUCGUCGCCCCACCCCCACCACCGCUCUCGUACCCGUUCCCGACAACUUCCCCGCCGCCCCCACCUCCGUUCGGUUGGACGUUCCCGGGAACUCCCCCGCCGCCACCUCGGUACGGUUGGCCGUCGACCCCGGCCCCGCCCCCACCUCCGUUCCGUCGUUGGCCAUGGACCCCGGCGCCGCCGCCGCCGCCGCCGGCGCGGUCUGCGGCUGCGGCUGUGAGGAACCCGGUCAGCGGCGCAGUGGCCGCCGCGGCGGCCGUUGUGGUCGCGGCCGCGCUCGCGUUCUAGGGCCGCGCGCUGUCAAUACCUGCUGUGACCGUGCACGCGUUGCAGCAUUGUUAUUACUUGCGUUGCAUGGCUUUUUUCUUUCCAGUGUGGUGGGAGGAGCACCGGCUUUGGUUUGCAUUUGUUUACUGCUGCUGUUCGUGCUGGGACUAGGCAGCAUUAGCAAGAGUUUAGAGCUAUAUUUAUGUAUCAGGGGCCUGCCUAGUUAUGUGUCUCAGUCAGUCAGGGUGAUCCUUUUUUUGUUUUUGUUUUGCGAAUGUGUUUUAGGUGAUAUGAGUUUGUCAGUCUGCUAUAUUGCCGGUCGGCAUUAGUAAGUCGUUCAUUCAAAUAAAGUUUAACUCUUCAUAUUUUAUUGACCACCUAUAUAAAAUCAGUGUGUGUGCGGCGUGGGCGCUUGUGCAGUGAAUACUCUCUCAGUUUUAAAUUUAAGUCGUUUUAGCUUGUCUAGAUUCAUAGUUUUUACGAUGCACCUAAAUAUACGUGAUGUCUAGAUAGAAAUGCUAAAUGUCUCAAUUUUUGGAACGGAUUAAUAUUUCAUAUAUGUUUUACAAUAUAUAUCCAUUUCGUAAAUUGAAGUCCACAAUAGGAGUAAUUGCUACUAUGUUAUUCCUGUAUUCCAAAUUAUAAGUUAUUUCAAGAAUCUUAGAGAGUCAAUACAUAUCAAGUUUCACCAAAAUUAUAGAGAAAAUUAUAAAGAUUUAUAACAUCAAAUGAGUAUACUAUGAAAAUAUAACUAAUAAAGAAUCUAAUGAUACUUAGUUGAUAUCAUAAGUAUUAUUAUAUUCUUAUAUAAAUUUGGUCAAACUUAUAAUACUUUGACUCUCCAAAAUUCUUGGAAUGAUUUAUAAAUUGGGAUGGAGGGAGUACUUCUGCUCAUCAGGCGGUCAACAAGACAUUAAAAUGCAAGUGUCGCAUAUGUGUACAAUUUAAUCACAGUUAGGACAUUGAUGAGUUGUAACAUGUGUCCAGGUAGAUAAAUUUGGAUCAUAUGGAUCCUCAGGGCAUCUCUAGGAAGGCCCUCAAACUAGCCCCUUAAAUUAAAAUUUGAGGGCUUUACAUAACAACACAGUUCCAACAACGCCUCUACUCAAGUCCUCAAAUUUGGGUGGAUCUCAAACUAGCCCCAUUAGCCCCUAUCCGGCGGUUGUUCGUUUUUUUUCUCGCUCCCACGCCUGCUCUCUUCCCUCCACACGUCCUCCACUCCUCAGGUCAUAGUGCCCCUCCUCCACUCAGACCCAGUUGGAGCGACUCCCUCUCCUGCGUCUAGAUCCCAUUGUGGCACCCCUCCUCCUAUGUCUAGCCGUUAGGUCCAAAUGGCUAGAGAAGGGAGAUGAAUAGCCUAUUUAAAAUUCUUUAAGUUUAACUAAACAAGUAUGUUAGUAAUACAAAUAGCAUAGCAAUUCUAGCACUAGCACAAUUAAGCUAUGCAAGGCACCUAAACAAGUCUAGUACAAGGCUAAACACUAAACCACACCAACAAGAGAAGGCAACACUAAGCUCUACUCCUAAACAAGAAAACAAGGCUACACAAGCUAAACUAGCAAGGUAGGCAAGUAAGUAAACGAGUGUGUAAAGAUUAUUAUACCGAUGUUGAUGAGUAGAGAUAUGUCCAAGAAUCAAUCACAAUUGCAUAUACAAGAUGAAAUCCUCGACACGAGAUGACACAUGAUUUUUUUUAUCAAGGUUCACUUGCUUCUCGGCAAGCUAGUCCUCGUUGUGGCAAUGCACUCACUUGAUGUAUCAUGAGCUAAUUGGCAAUCCAAAGCCAAACCCUUAGCGGGUGUCGCGCACACAUCCACUCAUAAGAUAGGGAUCCUCCAAGCCACGAGCAAUCCACUAGAGUAGCCAAUUGCAAUCUCCCACGGGGGAGGCUCAAGAACCCCUCACAAAUCACUUGGUGAUGCUCGAAACAAUCUCCAAUCACGAGCUCAACACCUCUGCUGCUCCAAACCAUCUAGGGUGUCAGAAAACACCCAAGAGUAACAAGAAAUCAGCAGCCAACUCAAGGAUCAAGUGCUACUAAAUGCAACUCAAAGCAAAGCACUUGAAUCUCACUCAAUCGCACUAGGAUGAGCAAUCAAGUAAGGAGAUGAGUGGAAGGGAUGUUCUCUAGCUCAAAGUAUGCCUCAAGUAUUUAGAUGUGCAAGAGAGAAGGCCCCAAACAGGGCCACCUUCUAUUUAUAACGUUUCACUCAAGAGCUAGCCGUUAGGAGCAAAUUCGGGAGCGUAAGAUGCUUUGACGCUUGCUCGUUGGACGUGGCCCAGCGUCCGAUGCUUGCCUGCCAUGCGCGUUAGAUCGCUGCCACAUGUCCCUCUUUGAAUGUGAACCGCUGAUCACCAACGGUCACUAAAGCAUUGACAAACUUUUGGAGCACGUGUCGGACGCAUCGGAUGCGUCAUCUCACACUAGACGCUACUCAGAGAGUUUCAAAAACUCUCUGGGACACGUCGGACGCGUCUGUUGGUGUGGCAUCGGACACACGCCAGCAUCCGACGCAUUGAACAUCGAAACCCUACUGCUACAGUGCAAGUAUCGGACGCACCGACGCUGAAGCGUCGGACGCUUCGGCGCAUAGAAGAAAAACGCCCUUCUGCAUUGCACGACGCUAUUUGAUCGCACGACUUUUCUGAAACUUUCCUUCGACGUCAUAGAAAAUAUGCAUUUUAUUUUCUCAAAAGCGUUGAAUCCCGGGUUUUGGCGCUUUUGAGAAAAUAAAAUGCAUAUUUUCUAUGGUGUCGGAGAAAAUCCCGCCUCGCAAGCUCGUCGGUAGGGAGAGAGGAUCCCAAACCCCUCUCUAUCUCUCAAACUUUAUCUCCUUUGCAAAUGUGCUAGCCUCCGUAAAUCAAUUUUAAGAGACAAAUAAAUUUUGAUCACCUCCAUAAAUAAAACAAAUGCCUCCAUAAAUCAAUUUUAAGAGAUGGACAAUUCCUGACUGCCUUCAUAUAAAAUGUCUACCUCCUGAAUUUGUGCUCACCUCUGAAAAUAAAAAUAGUCUAUCUCCUAAAAUUAUUUUUGUAGUUGUGUGAGGUGAUUAUUGAAGUUGUUUCAAGGAAUCUCACUGGAGGGUCUCGUGGCAGGGUGCCCCGCAGCGCUCUUUGCCGCUAUCGGCGACCACCAAACUGCAUAGGUUGCUCGCGGCGUCCGUGCCUUGCUCAUGUGAAGGGGGAAAAAGGAAGGUGAAUAGAAGAAAGAGAGGCUAUCGAGUGGGUCUCGCUUAUCAUUGUGUACAAAAAUAGAUUUGGGGACCUAAAUUCAGGUGCUACUGGUAGAGUGGAAGCAAAAAUUGAGCAAUAAAAAAUAGGGGACAACACCUAAAUUAAAAGUAGGAGCCCUGAUUUGGGUGCCCUCCCUAGUAGAGUUGCUCUUAUUAAGCCAAUGUUGCUACUGAAUCAAUUUAUUAUUUUUCAUACAGACGCAGUGGUUUCUUUUUUUUUUUAAAAAAAAGUUUGCAUCUUAAUUAUGGGAAUUAAGGCUCCUUUUAACUAAAAUUUUAAUGUAUUUAUGUUUGGCUGAAGUUUAAUAUGGUCAAGCAUGAGUGUAUGAGGCACCAAGUUACAUUGUUGCUUUCUAUAAAAAUUGAGUAUAACCCGCUCCUGUCAAAACAUUGAAUUAGCAAGACAUCAAAAGAAAGAUUUUCUAAUCCAUUAAAAACACUCAAAUACCAAAAUGAACAGAUCCGGUUCAAUUUUUCACUAAGGCUAAGGGUAAAAAAAAGCAGCCCCAAUCACAAUGGCAAAAUUGUGAUUUUUUUGGCAAUUUUUAUUUAAAGAAGUAAAAUAAUCUUGUAUGAGAGUACAUGCAAGAGGGGCAACCCUAUCAUUUGAACGAAGUGUAGACAGAAAUACCUAAUAUGGAGUGACAAUAAAGAGACCCAUCUAUCUACAAAUUCGAUUUGUUCAAUAGACCUUUGUCAAUGGAAAUACAAUGUAAUUAGAUAUAAAAAGGAAAUAAAAUAGGGACUUUUGUUGGAUUGGCACGAUAUAAAUGCAGCAAAAAAAAAUAGGACUAAGAAAGAGGCAAAUUGUGUCUAAAUAAUUAAGGGGUACUAAGGACCCUCUCCUACUUUUUUAUUCAUUUAGUUCUUCAAUUAACUCAAAGUUCUUUCUUUAUCUUUAAAGAAUUCUGCCUUCCUUAAAAUAUCAUAAACAGUUCUUGUAGGUUGAGCACCCUUUUCAAGGAAAUAGAGAAUAGCUGGAACAUUUAAACAAGUUUGAUUCUUUAUCGGAUCAUAAAAACGUACUUUUCGAAGAUCUCUUCCUUCUCUUUGAGAUCGAACAUCAAUUGCAACGAUUCGAUAGAUAGCUUAUUGGGAUAGAUGUAGAUAAACAACCCCCCCCUAGAAACGUAUAGGAGGUUUUCUCCUCAUACGGCUCGAGAAAAUGAUUCGAAUUUCUGUCUAUAAUGCAAAUAGAUAGAAAUUCGAUUAUGACUUGCAUUAAUUUCCUUAAAGAAAAUAAAAAACAAAUUUCAUUUAUACUCAUGACUCAAGUUGGCUAAUUUUGACUGACAAACUUCAAAAGAAAAACCCUUCGAAAUUUUUUGAGUCGUCUCUAAACUCUUUUCUUUAUCUCAUCUCGAACAAAUUGACUUUUAUUCCUUAUUCUGAUCUAAUUCUAUUGUUGAGACGGUUGAAAAUUGUGUUUACUUGUUCCGGAAUCCUUUAUCUUUGAUUUGUGAAAUCCUUGGGUUUAGACAUUACUUCAGGAACUCCUAUUCUUUUUUCUUUCAAAAGAGUAGCAACAUACCCUUUCUUUUUUCUUAUUUCCUUCGAUAAAGCAUUUCACUCUUCUAUAGAAAUCAAAUAUGAACAAUUUAUUCAGAUAGACUUUUAAUCAAAAAAGUUUUUCCAAUCUUCCAAAAUUGGACUUUUUCUUAUUUUAACCUUUUGAUUUCUAUAUUAAGGAUAGACUGACAAAGUUGGCCUAAUUUAUUAGUUUUCACUAACCCUAGAUUCUUUCCCUUGAUCAAAAAGAAAUUCUGUCCUCUCGUGCUCCAUCGUGUACUAUUUACUUUACUUACAAACAACCCAGCGCAAAUUCGGUUCGGGACGAAUAGAACAGACUAUGUCGAGCCAAGAGCAUUUUCAUUACUAUGGAAAAUGAUGGAUAGCAAAAUCCACAAUCGAUCAUGUCCUUCAAGUCGCACGUUGCUUUCUAUCACAUCGUUUUAAACGAAGUUUUACCAUAACAUUCCUCUAAUUUCAUUGCAAAAUGGUAUCGAGAAUUGAUCCAAUAUGGAUGGAAUCAUGAAUAGUCAUUGCUUUUGUAUACUAAUUCAAACCUGCUAUCUAUGGAGAAAAUUGGAUAAAAGAAAUAAGUAUUUAUCGGGGAACACU